UCCCCCGUGGCGCAAUUGGCUAGCGCGUCUGACUGUUACGCGUGCAAUCAGGAGGUUGGUGGUUCAAGCCCACCCGGAGGAG
This 82-nucleotide transfer RNA is filed under the name Sphaerosporella brunnea. It matches the Rfam family "tRNA". From Rfam's summary of the family: Transfer RNA (tRNA) molecules are approximately 80 nucleotides in length. Their secondary structure includes four short double-helical elements and three loops (D, anti-codon, and T loops). The record is from Rfam by way of RNAcentral. Lineage: Eukaryota; Fungi; Ascomycota; Pezizomycetes; Pezizales; Pyronemataceae.